This is a long non-coding RNA of Mercenaria mercenaria, 9085 nucleotides long. RefSeq lists it as uncharacterized. Lineage: Eukaryota; Metazoa; Mollusca; Bivalvia; Venerida; Veneridae. The record is from RefSeq and is a predicted model, not a curated record. The transcript has 4 exons.
AAAAAAAAAAAUUUUUAUAUGGUCAAGCUUUGUAUGCGGCCAAGUGACUGAUCAGAAGUGUAUGCACUAGCAAAUAAAUAUGACUGAAAAUGAGGCAUAUCCAAGGCUUGAAGAUAGCUAAUUGGGCAUACAAAUGUUUAUAUAAAACAAAGCUCCUUUUUAUAUGCCAGUUAUUUUGUCACAUAGAGUUACAUGAUAAUGUAAUGAUAAAUUAUGAAGAGAUUUUAAAAUUACUUGGCAUAAAUAUUCCCUAUAAUGAGAUAAUGUGCCAUGUGCAAGACCCGGACCACUAGCUUGAAGCAAGGUCACACUUAGAAGUCAAAGGUUAACAUGGUCUGUUUCUUGUCUGGUCCAUAAACCUGCCAUUUAUCAAGGGAUUUGAAAAUAAUUUGACACAAAUGUUAACCAUAUUGAGAAGGUGUGUUGCACUUAUGACCCGUGUCUGUCAAGUCACGGUCAAGGUCACAAAAUGAUUCAUACCUAAACUAUUCUGGCAUAUUUUGUGCAGAUAACAGUAGCAUUCUAGGACAUUUUUCGUUAAUAGUGACAACUCUUAUUCAGCUUAAUUUUUGUUCUGAUCAAAUUACAUGCAUUAUAUUGCAAAAGCCUAUUGCAGGGCAUCCGUGUCCCAUGGAAACAUUUCUAGUUUAUUGUAUGAUGUAUAAAAUUCUUUGCAUGUAUCCUGGGUACCUUAUUACAGCUUUAAGGUUUAUGUGGCUCAAAAAAAUAGAUCAGAGAACAAAAGGUUAGCCAUGUAAAAUCAGUUCAUAAGAAUGUCAGUCCAUUCGACUGAAGCAUUUCGAUACCACUCCAUAUCUCCUGAACCUCUGAAAGGAAUUCCAGCAAACUUUGGUCAGUUUUCAUUGAGACUAUGUGCAAAAGACAUGACCCAGUAGUGCCAUUCCAAUGUCAAGGUCACAACUCUGGUUCAAUUUAUUGAGCUAUGUUAUUUUGUGUCUGCUUUAUAUCUCUUAAACCUCUGAAAGGAAUUAUAUCUCUUGGGUGAAAAUUUAUGUUCACCUCAUUGAGAAUAUGUGCAGAAGCCAGUUCAAGGUCAAGGUUUUAACUCAAGGUAAACUUAUUGAGCCUUAUGAUUUUGUGUCCUCGCCAAAUCUCUUGAAAGGAAUUUCAUCAAAGUUGAGUCAAAUGUUCACCUCAUUGAGACCAUGUGCAUAAACCAUCAUCCAGCUGUGCAUGUUCAUGGUCAACAUCACAAUUCAAGGUUAACAUUAUGCCAUGAAAUUUUGUGUCUGCUUUGUCUUUUUAACUCCUAAAAGGAACUUCAUCAAAUGUGAGUUAAAUCUUGACCUUAGAGAUAUUAGCAAUAAUCCUGAUCUGUCAGGUCAAGGUCAGGUCAUAGCUGAAGGUUAAUACUUGUGGCAUUAUAACUGGUGUCUGCCCACAUUUGAGUUGAAUGAACAUCUUACACAAUACUGUUGCAUACUAUUUAACUACAUUAUUCUUCAGGGAUUUUUUUCCUUCUUUCAAAUGGGCAGAUGUUCAGCUCCUUAGAAAUCCAGGUUUGCACUGACUAUACCUGUCUUUGAGACUGCCUUGUUCAGUAUGCAAAGAUAAACAUAAAUGCACCAUUGGAUGGACAAAGUGAAUGAAAGUAUUAUGUAUACCCGUUUUAUUUUUUCCAGGAAUAUCAGUAUUGAUGAAGAGAUUCUGUAUGAUUAUGGGUUGGAAAGUCUUCCUUGGGGGAAGAAGCCGUCAUUGAUGGUGAAGAUGGAAGCAGUUUUGAUGAACUUAAUGACCUUGACUACGAAUCAGAAAGUGAAGAAGAUGGAGAUGAUGAUGAUGAUUAUGAAGAAGUAGAUGAAGUAAUGGACAAAUGGGAAAGACUGUGGGAAGGAAAAGUAGAAAGGGGGAUGAAAAGAAAAUGGACUGAAGAAGAAGAUAUAGUUUUCUAUGACAUUUUCAAGGAUGAACUUACUUUAAAAAAGAUGCCUAAAGGAGGGAAAUUGCAGAAAGCUGUUGAAAAGAUAAAAGAACAGUUCCACAAGGAUGAGAGUUCACAACAUGAUAACAAAGCAGCAAAAGGUUACAGGAAAUUUGGUGUAUGAACUAAAUCAGAUAGGCCUAGAAAUGUUUUGUGAAAAGUUUUAAAGUGGUAUAAUAUUAAAUACCAAUAAAUAAUAUUGAAACAUAAAUGAUUAUCAAGUUUUUAUCAUGAGUGUAACAGUUUGUCUGCAUCUGUUUCCAACAGGGUAAUAUAUCACUGAGACACUAAAAGUUCAAUUUUAUUGCUCUGUAACAAAGAAUAGUUAAAAUACUCAUUACAGAAGAUAAUUAAAUGUUUUAAUCAUAUCUUUGAAGUGUUCAGUGUUUGCUUUGUUUGCAGCUUUCAUUUCAGUUGAUAUAAUUGUGUUUGAGCAAAUAUUCAUUGUAACAUUGCUUAAGAAAUAAUUAUAAAAACAUGCCAAACAGUGAUUUUAUCAUUUAAUGAAAUCAUUUGUUUGGUGUUCCGAUGUUAAGGAAUUAUGUCACGCGGUUGCAGCCCUAGUGCUUUAAUAAUAUAUUUCAGAACAACACUGAUUUUAUUCAAGGAAAAAUAUCACGUUAGAUAUAUAUAAUUUCUAUUCUAACCCAAUAUCAAAGAUUACUAUCUGCAUCAAUUGACUACAUCCACAAAAUAUUUGCCUGUUUUCAAGGUGAGCUUUUGUGAUCGUGCUGCGUCCAUCGUCCGUGCGUGCGUGCGUCUGUAAACUUUUGCUUGUGACCACUCUAGAGGUCACAUUUUUAAUGGGAUCUUUAUGAAAGUUGGUCAGAAUGUUCACCUUGAUGAUAUCUAGGUCAAGUUUGAAACUGGGUCACGUGCAAUCAAAAACUAGGUCAGUAGGUCUAAAAAUAGAAAAACCUUGUGACCUCUCUAGAGGCCAUAUUUUUCAAAAGAUCUUUAUGAAAGUUGGUCUGAAUAUUCACCUUGAUGAUAUUUAGGUCAAGUUCGAAACUGGGUUACGUGCCUUCAAAAACUAGGUCAGUAGGUCAAAUAAUAGAAAAUCCUUGUGACCUCUCUGGAGGUCAUAUUUUUUCAUAGGAUCUGCAUGAAAAUUUGUCAGAAUGUUCAUCUUGAUGAUAUCUAGAUCAAGUUCGAAACUGGGUCACGUCCGGUCCAAAACUAGGUCAGUAGGUCAAAUAAUAGAAAAACCUUGUGACCUCUUUAGAGGCCAUAUUUUUCAUUGGAUCUGUAUGAAAAUUGAUCAGAAUGUUCAUCUUGAUGAUAUCUAGGUCAAGUUUGAAACCGGGUCAACUGCUGUCAAAAACUAGGUCAGUAGGUCAAAUAAUAGAAAAUCCUUGUGACCUCUCUAGAGCUCAUAUUUUUCAUGGGAUCUGCAUGAAAAUUGGUCAGAAUGUUCAUCUUGAUGAUAUUUAGGUCAAAUUCGAAACUGGGUCACGUCCGAUCCAAAAAUUGGUCAGUAGGUCAAAUAAUAGAAAAACCUUGUGACCUCUCUAGAGGCCAUAUUUUUCAUGGGACCUGCAUGAAAAUUGGUCAGAAUGUUCAUCUUGAUGAUAUCUAGGUCAAGUUCGAAAUUGGGUCAACUGCGAUCCAAAACUAGGUCAGUAGGUCUAAAAAUAGAAAAUUCUUGUGACCUCCCUAGAGGCAAUAUUUUUCAUGGGAUCUUCAUGAAAAUUGGCCAGAUUGUUCACCUUGAUGAUAUCUAAGUCAGGUUUGAAACUGGGUCAUGUGCGAUUCAAAACUAGGUCAUUAGGUCAAAUAAUUAAAAAACCUUGUGACCUCUCUGGAGGCCAUAUUUUUCAUGGGAUCUGUAUGAAAAUUGGUCAGAAUGUUCAUCUUGAUGAUAUGUAGGUCAAGUUCGAAACUGGGUCACGUUCGGUCAAAAACUAGGUCAAUAAGUCAAAUAAUAGAAAAACCUUGUGACCUCUUUAGAGGCCAUAUUUUUCAUGGGAUCUGCAUGAAAAUUGGUCAGAAUGUUCAUCUUGAUAAUAUCUAGGUCAAGUUUGAAACUGGGUCACAUGCAUUCAAAAACCAGGUCAGUAGGUCAAAUAAUAGAAAAACCUUGUGACCACUCUAGAGGCCAUAGUUUUCAUGGGAUCUGUAUGAAAGUUGGUCUGAAUGUUCAUCUUGAUGAUAUCUAGGUCAAGUUUGAAACCGGGUCAACUGCUGUCAAAAACUAGGUCACAAGGUCCCAACAUAGAAAGAUCUUUUGACCUCUCUAGAGGCCAUAUUUUUCAAUGGAUCUUCAUGACAAUUGGUGAGAAUGUUCACCUUUAUGAUAUCUAGGUCAAGUUCGAAACUGGGUCACAUGCGGUCAAAACUAGGUCAGUACGUCUAAAAAUAGAAAAACCUUGUGACCUCUUUAGAGGCCAUAUUUUUCAUGGGAUCUGCAUGAAAAUUGGUCAGAAUGUUCAUCUUGAUAAUAUCUAGGUCAAGUUUGAAACUGGGUCACAUGCAUUCAAAAACUAGGUCAGUAGGUCAAAUAAUAGAAAAACCUUGUGACCACUCUAGAGGCCAUAGUUUUCUGGGAUCUGUAUGAAAGUUGGUCUGAAUGUUCAUCUUGAUGAUAUCUAGGUCAAGUUUGAAACCCGGCCAACUGCUGUCAAAAACUAGGUCACUAGGUCUCAACAUAGGAAGAUCUUUUGACCUCUCUAGAGGCCAUAUUUUUCAAUGGAUCUUCAUGAAAAUUGGUCAGAAUGUUCACCUUGAUGAUAUCUAGGUCAAGUACAAAACUGGGUUAUAUGCCUUCAAAAACUAGUUCAUUAUUUCAAAUAAUAGAAAAACCUUGUGACCUCUCUAGAGGCCAUAUUUUUCAGUGGAUCUUCACGAAAAUUGGUCAAAAUUUUUUUCUUGAUGAUAUCUAGGUCAAGUUCAGAACUAGUUCACAUGAGCUCUAAAACUAGGUCACUAUGUCAAAUAAUAGAAAAAACGACGUCAUACCCAGUUCAUGUGGGGACAGGUGAGCGAGUCAGGACCAUCAUGGUCCUCUUGUUUUUAUUUAAUGGAACAAAUUGGGUCAUGUUAGAAUGUUUUAUAAAUAAAUGUUUGUAGUAAUCUGUUGGUUAAAUUGUAUUUAUUGCUAUAUCUGGCUGACUUCUGGAUCAUUUAUGUCACAAGGGUAAAAGUUUAUUUAGUUUCCAAAAUGAUAUCCAUGGAGCAAAUUUGUAAAAUGAUUUUACUUAUAAAUAUAAUGUUUUAUUUCUGAAGUAUUAACAUUACUUGGAACGCUGAAAGCUGUGAUGUAUGGUUGUUUAUAUUGGUAGCAGAUAAUAAUCUUUAUACAAUGUAUUUCAACUUAAGUUGUGUUUGAUAUAACAUUUCUUUAAUUUGGUCAUCAGUUUAUUUAUUAGACACAUUGGCAAUGUGUUUAGACACAGAACUUAGUUUUCUGGUAUUUAUGUCACAGAAGAAACAAGAACUAUGAAGACGAUUGCAGCUCAAAUCAGCAUUAGGUAUUGUUCAAAUCUACUCUCUAACAGUUGGGGUUAAAUUAUGUCUGGGGGAAAAAUACUGUUUUUGCCCAGUCCGUUCAUCCAUCAUACUUCAUUUCCAGUCAAUAACUGGAGAACCAUUUGACCUAGAACCUUCAGACUUCACAGGGUGAUAGGGCUUAGUUCACUCGUCAAAGGUCAAGGUCAUGUGUCUGAACAUGGAAAACCCUUUCCAAUCAAUAACUUCAGAACCACUUGACCCAGAAUGUUGGAACUUCAUAGGAUGAUUGGACAUACAGAGUAGAUGACCCCAAUUGAUUUUGGAGUCACUCAAUCAGAUGUCAAGGUCACAGGGGCCAGAACAUGAAAAACCGUUUCCAAUCCAAAAUUUGAGAAACACUUGACCCAGAACAUUGAAACUUCAUGGGAUGAUUGGACAUGCCGAGUAGAUGAUCUCUAUUGCAUUUCAGUCACUAAGCCGACCACCAGUGUCUAUUUGAUUUUCACUCCUGUGCGCUAUUGACUUCUUGCUUAUUGCUCACUGUGCUUUGGGGGAGACGUGUGCUUUUCUACAAAAUCAUUUUCUAGUUUUUCAACAUUUUCAUUUCAACCAAGUUUGGCAUAGAAUGUAUAUAUGACACUGAAAAUUGUAUAUGUUAGGGGAAAUAAGUGCUAGAUAUUGGUAAAAAAGCAAGAAGAAUGUUGAUUUUCUUUAUCGAUUUCAAAAACAUUAUGAACGGUUUACUUGAGUCUGCAAACUAUGUUUGGUAAUUAAUUAGGAUAUCUUUCAAAAAGCAUGUCAAUAAAUUUUUAAUACUGUAAAUUUGCUUGAGUAAGAAAGCCAUGAACCAUAACUCUUCUUGCGUAUUGCCUAGUGACAAACACUUACAGACAUAUGUUGGUACCUGCCGACAGUGCUCUCGAUUACUUCUGUUGUAUUGACAUAACACUGUAAUAAUUUUACCAACUGUUUACAUAACAAAGGCAUACCCAUAUCCGUAGUAAAGAAAAGGAUUUCAUUUAUUAUCAUGGGUGUUACCAUUGACAGUUUGACAAAUAACAUACACAAUUGUUACAGUUGUUAGUUUGGUAUGACCAAAACCAUUACUUUUUUUAAAAUAUGUAAAAUAUUAUAAUUAUUUGCUAGAACUUUAUCUGUAAAAAUUAAACAAAGGAACAUACAUAUUGUUUACUUUAGGAACUAUCUUGUAAGAAAGUUGUUCAAAUGUUUCAUUUUAUUUUUGUUACAGACAUUGAUCAAGAUGAAAGUUUUAUCCUAUUAAUUUUAACAUAACUGUAAAAGGUACUAUUCAGUAAUGUUGAAGAAGAAAUUGGAAAAGAAUGAUAGAUGCAGGCUUUUAAGUGGUAUUUCUUUCAUAUGUUACUUUUUUAGCUUAAAUAUUUGCUGUUUACUUUUACACGAUUGUUAGCUUGCGUGAGCACAAAGUGCUCAGUGGGAGCUUUGUGAUCUCUUAUUGUGUGUUGGUCAAACUUUUCUUCAGGCGACAUCUCUGAAACCACAUGGUUGGUGAAACUUGGCCUGGAUGUUCCUUGGAUGAUCCUCUACCUAAGUGUUCAAAGAAUUUUAUUCCAUGCAGAACUCUGGUGCUAUGAUAACAGAAAUGAAAAACUUGAACAGUCUUCUUCUCAGAAACCAGUUUCAAUAUAAUUUGACAAAAUUGUUCCUUUGGUGACCCUCUAACAAGAUUGCUCAAAUUUAGCCAAAAAUAUGGCUGCUAGAAGGCAUGGUCUAUUUUCCCUACAUUUAUAUAUUGGAAUUUAAAAAAAAAAUCUUGUCAGAAACUGUUUGCCCAAUUACAUAAUAAUUUCACAGGAAUGUGCUGUUUUUGACCCUCUACCAGGAUUGUUCAUAUUUGUCAAAAAAACAUUGCCGCAUUGGGGGUGGUGGGGGGGUGGGGAGUGAUCACUAUUCCCAGUGUGUUUCUAGUGGGAACUUUAAAAAAUCUUGUCAGAAGCUUCAUCAAGCUUGGUCUGUAGCACCAUUAUGAGGUCCUUUCCCAAAUUUGUUCAAAUUAGGACAUUUAGCCCCUUUUAGGGCCUGCUGUAGCUAAAGAAUAGAAAUACCUUUAAAGGAUUUCUCAUGAAACAUUUGGUGGAUCUCUAUCAAACUGUAACAUCGUUUAUAAGGUCCAGUCCUUAUUUUGUUAAAAUGAGGGAACUUGGCCCCUUUUAGGGGUCUCUAGAGCUUAAAAUAGAAGUAUAUUUAAACCACUUAAUUUCAUGAACCGCUUGAUGAAUCUUCACCAAACUUGGUUGGUAGAGUCAUUUUUAAGGUUCCCUUUCAAAUUUGUUCCAAUGGGCCCCAUUGGGCCUCUUUUUGGGGUAGCUAGAGCUAAAAAUAGAAAAAGAUUUAAAUGACUCUCAUGAACUUCUGGAUGGGUCUUGCUCAAACUUUGUUUGUAACAUCCUUGUAAGGUCUCAUCUUGGCCCUUUUCAGGGGUCAUUAGCGCUAACAUUGCGUUUAAACAACUUCUUCUCAUGAAUCAUUUGACUGAUCUCCAUCAUCUUGGUCUCUAAUGUUCCUUUAAUGUUGUCUUUUAAAUUUCUUUAAAUGGGGGCACUUGACGCCUUGAACUGAAAUUAGAAAUAUCUUUAAAUGACAUUUUCCCAUGAACUACUUGGCAGAUCUUUGUAGGAUCCUUGAGCGUUUGUGCACUUUGUUUGGUAUCUGUGACAUUGAACUUGUACUUGUCAUUAAAAGCAAUAGUAUCUAGGUUAGCGAUAUAGGGCCAUCAUAGCCCUCUUGUUCAUGCAAUAGUUCAUUUACUAUUUACCCUAUCUUCAUCAUACUUAUUGUUGGCUUUUGAUUCAGUUAUAAUCCUUAAUAGUUUAUUCAGCUGAGUGGUGACCUAGGUCCAUUCUGACACUCUUGUUUAUUAGUAGAAUUUAGAAUUUAAUUUACUUCAAGGAAAGAGGAUGUCUGCAAUAUUGACAGGUUUUCAACUAUGCUCAAGUAGAUAUUGAAUAACUUCUAAUAUUGUCAGCUUACGUAUUGCAUUUUUGUACCCCCCGACAACGAAGUUGUAAGGGGGGUAUACUGGUUUCAGGUUGUCUGUCUGUCUGUCUGUCCGUCUAUAGACACAAUUUUGUGCGCACCAUCUCUCCUCAUCCCCUUGACACAAUUUAAUGAAACUUCACACAAGUGAUCAGUAACAACAGUAGUUGUGCAUGGGGCAUGUUAGGUUCUUUCAACAACAAAAAUUGCAGAGUUUUGGGACUUUGUUUCUUGUUAACAUAGUAUGUACAUACAGUCUGCAUAUGCAAUCUUGUGCACGCCUAAUCUUCCAAACCCUUGCACACAAUUUAAUGAAACUUCACACAAGUGAUCAGUACCAACCCUAGUCGUGCAUGGUGCAUGUUACGUUCUUUUAGAUAAAUAUUCUGCAUAGUUAUGGGACUUUGUUUUUUGUUACUAUACUGUAUACAUACAGUCUAUAUACAUAAAGUCCACAUAAUUAUGCAAUAUUGUGUGCGUCAAAUUGCAAUGUACUGUGUCAGGGCAUGCGGGGGGUACAUUCAUCACCUUUAGUGAUAGCUCUAGUUUGUAAAUGUUUUGAAAGUUUGAAACAUAUUGCUCAAGGUGAGCUUUUGUGACCGCUUGAUAUCUGUCAAUAAUUGCUAAAACAAUCUUCUUCAAAACUACUGGGCAGAUUUACACCAAACUUCACAGGAA